AUGUCAUGGGGUCAUGUCAUGGGGGUCCACCGCCCCAGAUGCGCUGCAACAUCCAACCGAGGGUUGGUCCUGGAAGACUCUGCCGCCACCACCGGCAGUGUUCCACCGCCGCGUCAACUCCUAUAUGCACUACACCCAGAUGGAUGCACCAUCUUCAUGUCCAGAACUAACUUCAUGACUGCACCUAGCAAAGGUUGCAUGGGCACCUACUCAUUCAACACCAAGGAUUCUUUGUGGAGAUGGAAUGGGGAGUGGGCCUUGCCAUUCAUCGGCCAAGCUCACUUUGACAGUGAGCUCAACGCUUGGGUUGGCCUUCGGUGGGAUGGCUACAUCUUUGCUUGCCAAGUUGCCUCCCACAGCUGCCACAACACGACUCCAACGUUGCAGCUAGACUGCCAGACAACCAAGGAGAAGUUGUUCUGCAAGGACCGGAACCCACACACGGGAGCCUCUCUCACCUACAUGGGCACGGGCAAGUUGUGCCUCGUCCAGCGCGUGAAACGGGAGGGAGUGGAGGAGGCACUAGCUUGGGGAGACCACGACGGCUGUGUGCUCCACAUCAGCAUAUUUGGCCUGAAGUACAAUCACAAGGGAGAGCUGUAG
Molecule: ribosomal RNA, 603 nt
Filed under: Triticum aestivum (bread wheat)
Lineage: Eukaryota; Viridiplantae; Streptophyta; Magnoliopsida; Poales; Poaceae
Description: partial small subunit ribosomal RNA
Source: RNAcentral